Molecule: ribosomal RNA, 481 nt
Filed under: uncultured bacterium
Lineage: Bacteria
Description: bacterial SSU rRNA
Rfam family: Bacterial small subunit ribosomal RNA
Source: RNAcentral
GACGAACGCUGGCGGCGUGCCUAAUACAUGCAAGUCGAGCGGGGAUUAUGCUUGAUCGCUUCGGUGAGACGGCAUAUAUCCUAGCGGCGGACGGGUGAGUAACGCGUGGGUAAUCUACCUCGUAGUUCGGGAUAACAGGCCGAAAGGCUUGCUAAUACCGGAUGAGUUCAUGCUUAUGCAUAUAGGCAUGAAGAAAGGGCUAGCCCGCUAUGAGAUGAGCCCGCGUCCCAUUAGCUUGUUGGUGGGGUAAUGGCCUACCAAGGCAACGAUGGGUAGCCGGCCUGAGAGGGUGUACGGCCACACUGGGACUGAGACACGGCCCAGACUCCUACGGGGGGCAGCAGUAGGGAAUUUUCGGCAAUGGGCGAAAGCCUGACCGAGCGACGCCGCGUGAGGGACGAAGGGCCUUCGGGUUGUAAACCGUCUGUCUGGGGGAGUGAGAACGGACGGUACCCCGGAGGAACGCCCGGCUAACUACGUG